Molecule: long non-coding RNA, 5350 nt
Organism: Ictalurus punctatus (channel catfish)
Lineage: Eukaryota; Metazoa; Chordata; Actinopteri; Siluriformes; Ictaluridae
Source: Ensembl
UGAUGGUCGGUGUUACUUCCACGAGAGCUUUACUCGAAUCAGUUGUCAAAAAUACAACAAUACACAUAAACAGUUGUACAAAACAGUGAACCUAAAGUGCAUUAAGACAUUAUUUAAAUAAAAAUACAAAACACGCCUUUCAUGUCCACAUGUUCAAAUUAUGGCUAAACACAAGCUAGCUGUUCUGGUUUUCAGUACAAUGCGAGGACCUGCACGUGCGCACGCGUGCACACACACACGACAAAACUUACUUACUUAAAAACUAUCAGAAACAAAAUAUAAGUACAUUGCAAUAUGUCAGCAAGUUAACAGAGAUAAAACAGUCGAGUUGAACAUGCACAACAUACCUAUAUAGAGGAAAAAUAAGUCACAAGCAUGCCGGUCGGUGUUACUUCCACAAGCGCUUUACUCGAAUGGAACAUUACCGCUUUUCCUCCAGGUUUGUGGGCAGAGACUAAAGCAAUCGAUCCCAGAGUGCAGGAUUCAGACCAUCCUAAUAGAUGACUGAUCAGCGUUAUACUUACUUGAAUCAUCAAUGCACUUAACACAUAAAAAUGGAACAACAGCGAAAAACAAAUACUCUUUUAACUCUCUUUUUUAAACACUUGACUAUUUAACUUGUUACACUCUCCCCUACAAAAUAAAUGUUGUCUUGACAUUAAAUCAAUCAAAUAAUUGUCCUGUAAACGGUCUCUCAAGAACUUGACACUAGAAAUCCUCUUCUGUAAGGUGGUACUUAGGUCAAAGGUCACAGUUCAAAUAUGUUCAACAAUCCAUAUUCACAGUCCAUAUCUGUUGACUGGCUACUGUAUAAACAGUCCACAAAGAGUCUUUGCACAUACUCUUGAUCAACAGUCCAUUGGCUUCAAUGAUCUGUGCAGUCUGCAAAUUCAAAGUUCAUUUCAACAGCCCAUGAAAACAGUCUAUGAAAACAGUCCAUUAGUAGUUCAUGGUUCUAUUUCAGUAUGUCACUUCUGUAAACACAUUUGCUGAAGUCCAUACAUACAGGGUGGCUGAAGGUAAUAUGGCUGCAAGGGUGGCAACCAUGGGACCAGUCCUGGUGCAGGGUAGAAAGGCAACAACUGCGGCUGUGGCUGGAUACUAUAGCUAGAUACUAUACCCAGCUGAUCGUAGGUGAUGCACCUUGGCGGGUGUCUCUCUCUCUCUGUGGUAGCUGGUAGGUCGACUCCUCAGGUUCAGCAGCACUUGAUGCAGGAGAGGCAUCUGGUGAAUCAGGCAGAUUCUUUGCAGGUACGUUCAUCUCCUCAUCCGGCACGUUUUCAGGUGUGAUGAGCUCUUCCGGCUGAUCUCCACUGAGAGGCUGGGUUGGCAUGGCAACAGGGACUGCUAGUUCAACUUUCUGUUCUACUGGUUCAGGCUCAUGUUCAGGAUGUCUCUCUUGCGUAACAGUAGUUACUGCUGGUGGUAUGGGAACCUGAAUUGGCUCAUAAUGAAGGUCAUAUUCAUCUCCACUGUCUUCAUCUGAGUCUUCUGGCUGUGACACAUGCGUGUGCCUUCUUUUCUGUUUACUUUUGUCAAUUUUAUUUACUUCAGGCUGUGUCUCAAAAGGUAAGUGAUCACAGGACAUGAGCAGGUUUCCAUGCAGGACCCUGGAACGUCCCUUACCCCUUUUCUGGUCUCACUUCACAGAUCAGAUCCCAUUUGUCUCACCACUGUGUGAACUGUAUUUUCCCAGUAGUCAAGAAUUUUACCUGGUCCUCCUCUUGUUGUCAGGUUUUUGAUCAGGACCCACUCACCAAGCUGUAGCACUGAACUCCUCACUUUGUCUGGUUGACUGGAUCCUGACUCUGUGUACAGUCUGAACAGCAUGUCAACUGGAAGCCUAGGUGAUCUCCCAAACAGCAGAUAAAAUGGUGAGUAACCUGUCACUUCGCAACAGGUACAGUUAUAGGCAUACACCAGUUUGUUCAGAGACUCUUUCCAGUUCGAUUUCUGUGUUUCAGUCAGCGUCUUAAGCAUUUGCAACAAUGUUCUGUUCAUCCACUCCACUUGGCCGUUCCCCAUCGGGUGAUAUGGUGUUGUUCUGGACCCGGCCAUGCCAAUGAGUUUCUUUAAGUGAGUGAACAACUGAUUUUCAAACUCUCCCCCCUGGUCAUGAUGAAUGCGGGAGGGAAACCCAAAUUUGAGAGCGAAGUCACUGAAGAUGAGGUUUGCAGCAUUUUCCCCUGACUUUGACGUGGUGGCAUAUGCUUGAACAAAAUGGGUGAAAUGGUCAACAAUGAUGAGGAUGUACUCAUAUCCACCUUUGCAUCGGUCAAGAAGGAGGAAAUGAAUACAUACGAGUUCAAAUGGCUGUGUUGUCACAUUAUUUGUCAAGGGAGCUCUCACUUCAUGGCAUGGCUUUUUCUGCUUGAGACAGGUGCAAGCUUUUGUCACAUAGUGCUCAAUGUCAGAUUGCAUAUAGGGCCAGAAGAAGCGUUCACGUACUAGCGAUACUGUGCGGUCGGCACCUUGGUGUCCCAUGUCAUUGUGCAGCUCUUCCAGUACUUUUCCUUUGUACUGUUCUGGUAGGACCAACUGUUUGCAGGCUUUGGUUUUCCUGUACAGAAUGCCAUCACUGUCUACUGUCAGCUUUUGCCAUUCACUGAAGAGGCAUUUUGUCUUUGGGCUGAAUGUCUUUAACUCUCUAGCUAGAGGUUUGGAGCCUGACAGGUUACUAUCUAGCACAGGACAGAUGCAUGGGUCCGAUCUUUGUGCAUCUCUUAACUUAUCUUUUGGUAUAGGACUGACUGAUGCAGUGGUUAUCUCACUUUCGGUGGAGACUGACAUACAAAUGGCUGAAAAUGGCAGCGAUGGCAUCAGGUGGCAACUCCUCAGAACAUUCUCUCAUCAGUGACUCUGCAUCCAGUGGCAUCCUUGACAAAGCAUCUGCAUCACUGUUCUCUUUCCCUGGUCUGUACUUUAUCGUGAAGUGAAAAUCAGCCAACUCUGCAACCCACCUGGAAGUGGUUGCGUUCAGUUUUGCAGUGGACAGGACAUAUGUGAGUGGGUUGUUGUCACUAUACACAGUGAAGGUUGGAGCAUAGUACAGAUAAUCCCGGAACUUCUCAGUGACUGCCCAUUUUAAAGCUAGAAAUUCUAACUUGCCUGCAUGAUAGUGGUAGUUCUUCUCAGCUGCGGUCAACGGGCCGGAACCAUAGGCAAUGACUCUCAGUUUGCCAUCUUGUUUUUGAUACAAUACUGCUCCCAAGCCUUGAUAUGAUGCGUCAGUGUGUACUAAGAAUGGCUGAGUGACAUCAGGGAACCCUAAAACUGAUGGAUGGAGCAAACAGUCAAUCAGCUGUUCAAGUGCCUGCUGGUGCUGGUCGGUCCACGUGAUUGGCUUAUUUGAGGGCACAACAUGACUCAUUUUCUUUGUUUUUGGUUUUCUUGUGUUUUCAGGGACCUAAUUUGAAUCUGCUUUCAAGAGAUCAUACAGGCAACUGCCCUUUCUGGAAAAGUCUUUAAUGCACUGCCUGUAGUAGGUGAGUAACCCAAGCAUUUUUCUGAGCUGGCCCACAUUCGGUGGUCUGAUGACUUUCAAGGCACUAACUGCUUCAAAAUCUGCUGGAUCAACUCUACUUCCCUCUGUAGAGACUAUUCUCCCCAAAUAACGGACUUCAGGUUUAAAGAGGUCGCACUUACUUGGUUUGAGUUUGAUGCUAUAUUCUCUGAGGCAUUUCAACACUUUUCACACACCCUUCACAUGAUUUUCAAAGCUUUUGCUGAAGACCAGUGUGUCGUCCAGAUAAGAGAUGCAGAUGUCAUCCCGGAGUCCUUCCAAAUAUUCCUCCAUACAGCGUUGGAAAGCAGCAGGGACAUUCCUGAGGCCGAAUGGGAUGCAUAUCCACUCAGAGUCCCCAUGGAGUAACAAAAGCUGUCAUUGAUCUGCUCUCUUCAGAAAUAAAUCCCUGGUGGUAAGCUUUUCCCUGGUCCAGGAGAGAGAACCAGGAAUUACCACCCAGACUGUCCAUGAUGUCUUGGACCCGAGGGAUGGGCUGGCGGUCGGGAUGGGUCUUACUGUUAAGGUCUCUGUAAUCUAUACACAACCGAAGGGUGCCGUCUUUUUUUUCUCACACACACAACAGGGGAAGAAUACAACGAGUUCGACUUCCUAACCCAGCCCUGUGCUACUAGGUAAUGCAGGUAACCUUUCAUCUCCUGGUACAGUGGCCUGGGUACUGACAUGUAUGUGCAUUUGACUGGUUCUGGGUCUUUAAGAGAGAUGGCCAUUUGCAGUCUUUCGAUACAGUCAAUAUCAUUGUCUGAUCUUGAGAAGGAAUGACACUCUUCUCUGAGCAUUUAUCUGACUAUCUGUCUCUGUUCUUCUUUCAAGUGACUUACAUCUACAGGUGGAUCCCAAUUUUCACUACCAAUACAUGGGGACUGGAUGCUGGUGUGGUUCAUGGUGGCUGUUGUUGAAGCCUUUUCAAAAAUCUGGGCAGGUAACACAGUCAUUACUGUUUGUCCUGUGCCAAUUACAGUGCGCCCUGGCAAACAAUGUCGUGGUCAGUUGGGUUAGAAACAUCAACAAUGAUGACUGGAAAAACACCUUUCUUGACUCUGACUAGUGUGUCAUAGAACUCAAGAUCAUCUGGCCACUGAUGGGUCAGGUCUGGCUGAAACAACACGGUCAUGUCAUCUUUAAAAGGCUGGGCAGCUACACAACACUCAAUCUGAAUGCUACUGUGUUUUGGUACUGCACCCAUCUCUUUCUUUGUUUUCACUGCAUACUCAUCUACCUGUUCUGCACUAACAGCCUGUGUGAAAGCUCUCACCUUAUUUCUUUUGAGACUUGGGAAAGAUUUCUUCACAGUACUGUACUGUUUGCUCUUAUCAGUCUUUGCCAAGAUGUGCUCGAUGACAUUAAAACCUAUGAUGGGAUGGGACAGGUGACACCCCUUCGUCACAAGCAUUGGAAUCAGCAGUUCAUUGGCUUGGUUAGUUUCUGAGGUAAGCCGGAAGGUUGUCUCAAUCCAUCCCAGGUAAGGUAUUUCAGCUCCAUUUGCUGCAGUCAAUGUGAGGUCAGGUGAGUCCAGGAUUUCUGAAACAUCUCUCAGUCUGAAGCUCGGUAAGUACUCCCCUUUCCAUUUUUCAUCAAUGACUGACACCUGGGACCCUGUGUCCCAUAAAGCUUGGAGUUGGUGACCAUUCAGAUAGCAUUUAACAAGACACUGCCUGCCAACUAGUGAGGUGAUUUUGGACAAGUUGACAACUGGAGCUAUUGGUGGCAAGUAGUGUGCACUUUUGUCUUUGCAGGGAGACUUUCCAUUACCCUUGUCAGUUAUCAGGUGAGUGCAUUUCUUUUUGUGUUCAGUCCAAUGUUGUUGUUGACAUGCUCUGGAACAAU